CCGGCUGCGCCCGGAGGA
RNAcentral lists this microRNA (18 nucleotides) under Gallus gallus (chicken). RNAcentral describes it as "gga-miR-1845". Lineage: Eukaryota; Metazoa; Chordata; Aves; Galliformes; Phasianidae. The record is from miRBase by way of RNAcentral.